GCUGAACUUAAGCAUAUCAAUAAGCGGAGGAAAAGAAACUAACUAGGAUUCCCUUAGUAGCGGCGAGCGAACCGGGAAAAGCCCAACUUGUAAAUCAUUAGCCUUCGGCUAAUUGAAUUGUAGUCUCAAGGUGUGCUCUCUGUAGCAAGCAUUGCCCAAUUUUCCUUGGAAAAGGGAGUCAGAGAGGGUGAGAACCCCGUCGGCAAUUGCUUCAGCUACUCCACGAGACACUCCCUCAGAGUCGGGUUGCUUGGGAAUGCAGCCCUAAGUAGGUGGUAAAUCCCAUCUAAGGCUAAAUACUGACGGGAGACCGAUAGCGAACAAGUACCGUGAGGGAAAGAUGAAAAGAACUUUGAAAAGAGAGUCAAAAGUGCUUGAAAUUGUUGAGGGGGAAGGAAUUGGAAGCCGUGAGUGCUCCCUGGCUUAAGUGGGCAAUUCUGCCUAUUGUAUGCUCUGGGAGCCGGUCAGCAUCAGCUAUUGGACCGGGACAAUAACUGCUUUUGCAGUGCAUGUCGGCCCAAUGGCUGAGGAAUUGAAAGGCGCUCUUUGAGUCCUUCGGGAACCGCGCCUUCAAGAUGCUGGCAGAAGGCCUUCAAUUCGCCCGUCUUGAAACACGGACCAAGGAGUCUAACAUGUAUGCGAGCCGGUGGGUUUAACACCCAUGAGACGCAAGUAACCUGACUGGUGGGAUGGCUUGUGCCUGCACCAUCGACCGACCAUGAUCUUCUGUGAAAGGUUUGAGUACGAGCAUACCUGUUGGGACCCGAAAGAUGGUGAACUAUGCCUGAGCAGGGCGAAGCCAGAGGAAACUCUGGUGGAGGCUCGUAGAUGUGCUGACGUGCAAAUCGU
RNAcentral lists this ribosomal RNA (849 nucleotides) under Trebouxia anticipata. RNAcentral describes it as "partial large subunit ribosomal RNA". It matches the Rfam family "Eukaryotic large subunit ribosomal RNA", at positions 27 to 901 of the family's 3401-position model. Lineage: Eukaryota; Viridiplantae; Chlorophyta; Trebouxiophyceae; Trebouxiales; Trebouxiaceae. The record is from RNAcentral.